CAGCAGCCGCGGUAAUACAGAGGGUGCGAGCGUUAAUCGGAUUUACUGGGCGUAAAGCGUGCGUAGGCGGCUAAUUGAGUCGGAUGUGAAAUCCCCGAGCUUAACUUGGGAAUUGCAUUCGAUACUGGUUAGCUAGAGUGUGGGAGAGGAUGGUAGAAUUCCAGGUGUAGCGGUGAAAUGCGUAGAGAUCUGGAGGAAUACCGAUGGCGAAGGCAGCCAUCUGGCCUAACACUGACGCUGAGGUACGAAAGCAUGGGGAGCAAACAGGAUUAGAGACCCGAGUAGUCCCUGUCUCUUAUAC
Molecule: ribosomal RNA, 301 nt
Filed under: uncultured bacterium
Lineage: Bacteria
Description: partial 16S ribosomal RNA
Rfam family: Bacterial small subunit ribosomal RNA
Source: RNAcentral